UGAGGAAUAUUGGUCAAUGGACGGAAGUCUGAACCAGCCAUGCCGCGUGAAGGAUGAAGGCCUUCUGGGUUGUAAACUUCUUUUAUUGGGGAAGAAAACUAUGGUUUCUACUAUAGCCGACGGUACCCAAGGAAUAAGCACCGGCUAACUCCGUGCCAGCAGCCGCGGUAAUACGGAGGGUGCAAGCGUUAUCCGGAUUUACUGGGUUUAAAGGGUGUGUAGGCGGACUAUUAAGUCAGUGGGUGAAAUCUCCGGGCUUAACCUGGAAACUGCCAUUGAUACUAAUGGUCUUGAAUAUCGUUGAGGUUGGCAGAAUAUGUCAUGUAGCGGUGAAAUGCAUAGAUAUGACAUAGAAUACCGAUUGCGAAGGCAGCUAACUAAGCGAUGAUUGACGCUGAGGCACGAAAGCGUGGGGAUCAAACAGGAUUAGAUACCCUGGUAGUCCACGCCCUAAACGAUGAUUACUCGACAUACGCGAUACACAGUGUGUGUCUGAGCG
This 499-nucleotide ribosomal RNA is filed under the name uncultured bacterium. RNAcentral's name for it is "bacterial SSU rRNA". It matches the Rfam family "Bacterial small subunit ribosomal RNA", at positions 355 to 853 of the family's 1533-position model. The record is from RNAcentral.